GACGAACGCUGGCGGCGUGCCUAAUACAUGCAAGUCGAACGAGAGCGACCGGUGCUUGCACUGGUCAAUCUAGUGGCGAACGGGUGAGUAACACGUGGGUAACCUGCCCAUCAGAGGGGGAUAACAUCUGGAAACGGAUGCUAAAACCGCAUAGGUCUUCGAACCGCAUGGUUUGAAGAGGAAAAGAGGCGCAAGCUUCUGCUGAUGGAUGGACCCGCGGUGCAUUAGCUAGUUGGUGAGGUAACGGCUCACCAAGGCCGUGAUGCAUAGCCGACCUGAGAGGGUGAUCGGCCACAUUGGGACUGAGACACGGCCCAAACUCCUACGGGAGGCAGCAGUAGGGAAUCUUCCGCAAUGGACGCAAGUCUGACGGAGCAACGCCGCGUGAGUGAAGAAGGUUUUCGGAUCGUAAAACUCUGUUGUUAGAGAAGAACAAGUGCUAGAGUAACUGUUAGCGCCUUGACGGUAGCUAACCAGAAAGCCACGGCUAACUACGUG
RNAcentral lists this ribosomal RNA (498 nucleotides) under uncultured bacterium. RNAcentral describes it as "partial 16S ribosomal RNA". It matches the Rfam family "Bacterial small subunit ribosomal RNA", at positions 28 to 507 of the family's 1533-position model. The record is from RNAcentral.